Molecule: long non-coding RNA, 1996 nt
Organism: Podarcis raffonei (Aeolian wall lizard)
Lineage: Eukaryota; Metazoa; Chordata; Lepidosauria; Squamata; Lacertidae
Exons: 3
Source: RefSeq, a predicted model, not a curated record
AAGGUUGUAAGCAAUGUAGACACAGAGAUAAAUCCGGGAUUAAAUGGACCACCAUAAUUCAGAAAUUCUGUUGUACUCCUUUUUACUCUUCUCAGAGCCUUGGGCAUAAGAUGCUGAAAAGUAGCUCCGUGAACACCAAAUGUCAUUCAUAUACUGGCUGCAAGGAGGUUUCCUUGUCUUCAAAGGACUUGGCUGACUGGUAGGGGCACAGGCAAACAUAGCAGAAAGUCCUGAUCCAAAUCAACAACAGAAUGAUGUGCUGAAAAAUCUGCUUCUGCACCAGAAAAGGUUGACAACUUCUGUUAGCGAAAGCAAGGUUCUUUGGAUCCUGACGACGAGGGAUGGACAAAUCUGUCAAUUUUUGGUACUGUUUCUCUUUUUCCCAAUCUUAAAUUCAGAUUUCCAGAUUUAUUUUUUUUUGCAGAAGUUUGCUUUUUUAAAAAAUCAAUGUGAAAAUUCUUCAGCAUUUUAGUUCAAAUUUCUCCUAAUAAACACCUUAUUGCAUGCAGUUGUGACAGAUAAAGACAUUUUGCAAGCAAUUUACCCCUAAUACAAUGAUUUCAUAUAUUAUUCUCAGCAAUAUGUGCACUUAUAGGCACACUUUGCCCUAAUAUGUUCAUAUUUGUGUACAUUGCUUGGCUGGACCAAUGUAUGGCAAAGCUGUGAAAAGUGUGGAUUUUGGAAGAUGGCUGUGUUUCAGUUCACAUAUUGUUUUGGAAAGUGUGAAUUAUGUAAGUUUAAAUGUGAACUGAAUCUAAUUUAUCCCCCAUCUCUACAUGCGCUGGCAUAUAUAUCUGCAAACCUGGACGGACAUCACCAGAACAUUAGAAUUACAUGUUUUACAAUAUUAGUCUAGAUUCAAAAGAGCCCCCAUUUUAAGUAUGUUCACUCUAAAGUGACAUAUAUCAAGAUUUUUCUAGAUAAUAAUUACUAUUAUGACAUCUUACAAGCUUAAAAAAUUUAGAUCAUGUUUAGAUGCCUUAGGCUCAUAUUAUAAUACAUUUAUUAGCACUUAAAGUACUACAAGGCACUGAUGUUUUUGCUGCAACACACUAAUAUGGGCUCUUUCAUAAUAUCCAAAAAGUUAUUUCUCCCUCCCCCAUGCAAUAAAUAAAUUCCAUUCCAGAAAAUUUUGCUUGAAAUAGUGCUUAUUAUGCUGAGGUACUGCCCUUUCCCAAGAACUCAUAUAGCAAUGUAUUUCAGAAAACAUAACUCUUUCCCCUUAGUAGGUUAAAUUGCCAUGAAGAAUGUGGUUCUACUUUGGGCUCAGGAAUCCUGUAGGCUUUGUGAAUAUUGUCUAUGACAGUGUACAACUCUACCUCCUGCACAACUACCACAUCUUCUUUUCAGGGCCUUUUUUCAGCUGGAACUCACUGGAACUCAGUUCUGGCACCUCUCAGGUGGGCGCCAUUGCCAUUAUAAGAGAACAAGGAAGGCGUUCAUGGUGAGUUCUGGUACCUCUUUUUCUCGAAAAAUAGCAGAUUUGUUUCUAUAUUUGGCCCACAAAAGCUCCCAUUUUAUUUUAGAAGUUCUGCGGCAUGGGGACAAUGUAGAAGCAGGUGCAAGCAUAGCAGAGAAAAUGAUGAGGAAAGGUAAAUAAUUAGGUAGGAACUAUUCUAAUAGGCUACUUUAGGCUAAUUCAUGUGCUCACACCCACCCAACAAUUUGUGUGUGUGUGUGUAUGUCUUUGAACAGAUCUUGUGUCAUACCACAAUCUGCUUUUACAACUCCUUCAAGCAUUUCUUGCCAUACAGCAAUGCUGCUGUUUUUCAGUAAGCACAGAUCCGAAGAACUCUUGGCACACAGAACUAGCUGGAGUCUUUGGAUUGUAGCCAUUGCCUGGAAAGAUCUUUGGGAUCCAGUCCUAUAAAUUUAUUCAUAUAGACACACACACUUAUUGAAAACAUAAAUGAACUGUGAAUGUCUCUGUAAAUAUUGUAUACCUAUGAUAUUGCAUAUCUAUGGCCAGUUGUAUAAAAUUCCUCCCUACUCCAGA